This 74-nucleotide transfer RNA is filed under the name Patescibacteria group bacterium. RNAcentral's name for it is "tRNA-Val". It matches the Rfam family "tRNA". Rfam says of the family: Transfer RNA (tRNA) molecules are approximately 80 nucleotides in length. Their secondary structure includes four short double-helical elements and three loops (D, anti-codon, and T loops). The record is from RNAcentral.
GGGCGAUUAGCUCAGUUGGUUAGAGCAUGCGAUUCACAUUCGCAGGGUCAGAGGUUCGAAUCCUCUAUCGCCCA